GAACAAAAAAAGUGAAGAAAAGAAGGAAAGUAAAUUUCAAAAGAAAAAGAAAGCUUACAUAGCUUGGGAAGACAAUGCUUCCAAUUCAACAAGCUCAAGUGAUUCAAAUGAAGAAGCCAACAUUUGUCUAAUGGCAGAUUCAGAAGAUACUGGAAGUCAAGUAAGUGAUUCCAGCUUUGAAUCUAGUGAAUUAGAUUUACAAAAGGCUUUCUUUGAUUUGAUGAAUGAAUCUGAAAAACUUGAUGUUGCACAUAAAAAGCUUAAGAAAGAGCACAAUGAAUUGAAAUUUAAAUAUGAUAAAUUGC
RNAcentral lists this long non-coding RNA (305 nucleotides) under Vigna radiata. RNAcentral describes it as "long non-coding RNA (VRAD_LNC013601)". The record is from RNAcentral. Lineage: Eukaryota; Viridiplantae; Streptophyta; Magnoliopsida; Fabales; Fabaceae.